GAUGAACGCUGGCGGCGUGCCUAAUACAUGCAAGUCGAGCGAACAGAUGAGGAGCUUGCUCCUCUGACGUUAGCGGCGGACGGGUGAGUAACACGUGGAUAACCUACCUAUAAGACUGGGAUAACUUCGGGAAACCGGAGCUAAUACCGGAUAAUAUAUUGAACCGCAUGGUUCAAUAGUGAAAGACGGUUUUGCUGUCACUUAUAGAUGGAUCCGCGCCGCAUUAGCUAGUUGGUAAGGUAACGGCUUACCAAGGCGACGAUGCGUAGCCGACCUGAGAGGGUGGUCGGCCACACGGGAAGUGAGACACGGUCCAGACUCCUGCGGGAGGCAGCAGUAGGGAAUCUUCCGCAAUGGGGGAGAGGCUGACGGAGCGACGCGGCGUGAGUGAUGAAGGUCUUCGGAUCGGAAAACUCUGUUAUUAGGGAAGAACAAAUGUGUAAGUAACUAUGCACGUCUUGACGGUACCUGGUCAGGAAGCCACGGCUAACUACGUG
This 497-nucleotide ribosomal RNA is filed under the name uncultured bacterium. RNAcentral's name for it is "partial 16S ribosomal RNA". It matches the Rfam family "Bacterial small subunit ribosomal RNA", at positions 28 to 507 of the family's 1533-position model. The record is from RNAcentral.